Molecule: ribosomal RNA, 450 nt
Filed under: uncultured delta proteobacterium
Lineage: Bacteria; Deltaproteobacteria
Description: partial 16S ribosomal RNA
Source: RNAcentral
GACUACCGGGGUAUCUAAUCCUGUUUGCUCCCCACGCUUUCGUACCUGAACGUCAGAAAUGGGCCAGAGAGCCGCUUUCGCCACUGGUGUUCCUCCCGAUAUCUACGAAUUUCACCUCUACACCGGGAAUUCCGCUCUCCUCUACCAUCCUCAAGUCACAUGGUUUCGAAUGCAGUUCCCGGGUUGAGCCCGGGGCUUUCACAUCCGACCUGCGUGACCGUCUGCGUACGCUUUACGCCCAGUAAAUCCGAGCAACGCUUGCACCCUCUGUAUUACCGCGGCUGCUGGCACAGAGUUAGCCGGUGCUUUCUUGCGAGGUACCGUCUGGGAUUUCUCCCGUCUUCCCUCCCGACAGAGCUUUACAACCCGAAGGCCUUCAUCACUCACGCGGCGUGGCUGCGUCAGGCUUUCGCCCAUUGCGCAAUAUUCCCCACUGCAGCCUCCCGUAGG